RNAcentral lists this unclassified non-coding RNA (365 nucleotides) under uncultured Ascomycota. Its description in RNAcentral is "sequence contains ITS2". The stretch from base 1 to 154 matches the Rfam family "5.8S ribosomal RNA". The record is from RNAcentral. Lineage: Eukaryota; Fungi; Ascomycota.
AACUUUCGGCAAUGGAUCACUUGGUUCUGGCAUCGAUGAAGAACGCAGCGAAAUGCGCUAAGUAAUGUGAAUUGCAGAAUUCAGUGAAUCAUCGACUCUUUGAACGCACAUUGCGCCCCUUGGUAUUCCGAGGGGCAUGCCUGUUCGAGCGUCAUUACAACCCUCAAGCUCUGCUUGGCAUUGGACCCCGCGGCUUACCCCGCGGGCCUUAAAAUCAGUGGCGGCGUCCUCAGGCUCCGAACGUAGUAUAUAUCCCUCGUUACGGAGUCCUGGCGGCGGUAGCCAUCAACCCCCAACUUUCUAAGUUUGACCUCGGAUCAGGUAGGGAUACCCGCUGAACUUAAGCAUAUCAAUAAGCGGAGGCU